RNAcentral lists this ribosomal RNA (403 nucleotides) under uncultured bacterium. RNAcentral describes it as "bacterial SSU rRNA". It matches the Rfam family "Bacterial small subunit ribosomal RNA", at positions 356 to 774 of the family's 1533-position model. The record is from RNAcentral.
GGGGAAUAUUGCGCAAUGGGGGAAACCCUGACGCAGCAAUACCGCGUGAGUGAAGAAGGUUUUCGGAUCGUAAAGCUCUGUUAUUGGGGAAGAAAAAAAGACGGUACCCAAGAAGAAAGUCCCGGCUAACUACGUGCCAGCAGCCGCGGUAAUACGUAGGGGACAAGCGUUGUCCGGAUUUACUGGGCGUAAAGGGCACGCAGGCGGACAUUUAAGUCAGAGGUGAAAUCCCAGGGCUCAACCCUGGAACUGCCUUUGAUACUGGGUGUCUUGAGUACGAGAGAGGUGAGUGGAAUUCCGAGUGUAGAGGUGAAAUUCGUAGAUAUUCGGAAGAACACCAGUGGCGAAGGCGGCUCACUGGCUCGUAACUGACGCUGAGGUGCGAAAGCGUGGGGAGCAAACA